CUAUGGCUCAGGAUGAACGCUAGCUACAGGCUUAACACAUGCAAGUCGAGGGGCAGCAUAAGUAGCUUGCUAACUAGAUGGCGACCGGCGCACGGGUGAGUAACGCGUACCCAACCUUCCCCUUACUCAGGGAUAGCCCGGUGAAAACCGGAUUAACACCUGAUAGUUUCACUAGAUGGCAUCUGACGGUGAAUAAAGCUUUACGGUAAGGGAUGGGGAUGCGUCUGAUUAGCUUGUUGGCGGGUAACGGCCCACCAAGGCGACGAUCAGUAGGGGUUCUGAGAGGAAGGUCCCCCACAUUGGAACUGAGACACGGUCCAAACUCCUACGGGAGGCAGCAGUGAGGAAUAUUGGUCAAUGGGCGAGAGCCUGAACCAGCCAAGUAGCCGUGCAGGAUGACGGCCCUAUGGGUUGUAAACUGCUUUUGUACGGGAAUAAAGUGACCUACGUGUGGGUUUUUGCAUGUACCGUAAGAAUAAGGACCGGCUAAUUCCGUGCCAGCCGCUGC
Molecule: ribosomal RNA, 508 nt
Filed under: uncultured bacterium
Lineage: Bacteria
Description: bacterial SSU rRNA
Rfam family: Bacterial small subunit ribosomal RNA
Source: RNAcentral